GAGCGCCGUAGCAAUACGGAGCGGCAGACGGGAGAGUAACACGUGGGAACGUGCCCUUCAGUUCGGAACAACCCAGGGAAACUUGGGCUAAUACCGGAUACGUCCGUAAGGAGAAAGAUUUAUCGCUGAAGGAUCGGCCCGCGUCUGAUUAGCUAGUUGGUGAGGUAACGGCUCACCAAGACGACGAUCGAUAGCUGGUCUGAGAGGAUGAUCAGCCACAUUGGGACUGAGACACGGCCCAAACUCCUACGGGAGGCAGCAGUGGGGAAUAUUGGACAAUGGGCGCAAGCCUGAUCCAGCCAUGCCGCGUGAGUGAUGACGGCCUUAGGGUUGUAAAGCUCUUUCGCUCGGGACGAUAAUGACGGUACCGAGAUAAGAAGCCCCGGCUAACUUCGUG
This 397-nucleotide ribosomal RNA is filed under the name uncultured bacterium. RNAcentral describes it as "bacterial SSU rRNA". It matches the Rfam family "Bacterial small subunit ribosomal RNA", at positions 64 to 507 of the family's 1533-position model. The record is from RNAcentral.